GUCCACGCCGUAAACGAUGCGCGCUAGAUCGGGGCGGCUCUGACGCCGGCUCGGUCGAAGUAAACGCUAAGCGCGCCGCCUGGGGAGUACGGUCGCAAGGCUAAAACUCAAAGGAAUUGACGGGGCUCACACAAGCGGUGGAGCAUGUUGCUUAAUUCGAGGCAACGCGAAGAACCUUACCUGGGUUUGACAUGGCUGGAUUAACUCCUGGAAACAGGAGCCACGCCCGCAAGGGUGGAACAGUCACAGGUGCUGCAUGGCUGUCGU
This 267-nucleotide ribosomal RNA is filed under the name uncultured bacterium. Its description in RNAcentral is "partial 16S ribosomal RNA". It matches the Rfam family "Bacterial small subunit ribosomal RNA", at positions 793 to 1055 of the family's 1533-position model. The record is from RNAcentral.